This 467-nucleotide ribosomal RNA is filed under the name uncultured bacterium. RNAcentral describes it as "partial 16S ribosomal RNA". It matches the Rfam family "Bacterial small subunit ribosomal RNA", at positions 28 to 523 of the family's 1533-position model. The record is from RNAcentral.
GAUGAAUGCUGGCGGCGUGCCUAACACAUGCAAGUCGAGCGGCAGCGCGAGUAGUUUACUACUUGGCGGCGAGCGGCGGACGGCUGAGUAACGCGUGGGAACAUGCCCCAAAGUGAGGGAUAACUGCUCGAAAGGGUAGCUAAUACCGCAUAUGGUCUUCGGAUUAAAGGAUUUAUCCGCUUUGGGAGUGGCCUGCGUACGAUUAGAUAGUUGGUGAGGUAAUGGCUCAACAAGUCGACGAUCGUUAACUGGUCUGAGAGGAUGAUCAGUCAGACUGGAACUGAGACACGGUCCAGACUCCUACGGGAGGCAGCAGUGAGGAAUCUUCCACAAUGGGCGAAAGCCUGAUGGAGCAACGCCGCGUGCAGGAUGAAGGCCUUCGGGUCGUAAGCUGCUUUUAUGAGUGAAGAAUAUGACGGUAACUCAUGAAUAAGCACCGGCUAACUACGUGCCAGCAGCCGCCGUAA